Arachis ipaensis is the source of this 582-nucleotide non-coding RNA. NCBI's taxonomy places the organism in Eukaryota, Viridiplantae, Streptophyta, Magnoliopsida, Fabales, Fabaceae. The record is from RefSeq and is a predicted model, not a curated record.
GGUUUUGAGAUUGUUUGGAAGUGUUGGAAAUACGUGGAAACUGGUUCCGUUUUGAAAAGUGAUUCUUGGCAAGAUGUGAAUUGAAUACAUUUGUUAUUUAAAAGUAAAUGGGCCAAUAAUGAUUUUGAAGUAAGAUAUUGAGCCUGAUUGAUGUGUUGAAAAUGUUUCUGAAAAACCACUGGACUACUGUUUUAUAUUGAGAUUAUGAGACGCUAUGCGCCCGGCAGGGGCUGUGGUCGGUGGCAAUAGAUCCCUCUCGUAUCCCUUCGGAUCAUCAGAGCGUACAGGCGCAAAACCCUGGAUAGUGAUCCGAGCACUAUAUCUCGGGGGUUCCUACACCAUGAUUCUGAAGGGCAACAUCUCCAUGGAGAUGUGUCAGGUUGGCAGUUGAAUCGACAAUGUGAUAUCACAGCCAGUAGGGCAGACAUUCAUCAUUUGUAUUUAUGUGACAUUGUUUGGGUGUGCAUAUUGUAAUUGGUUUGCCUAUGUGAAUACUAAUGUUAAUUGCUAACUGCUAUAUUUGUUGUAAUUGCUAUUGAUUGUGUUUGAAAUACAUUAUUUGUGAUUGUGUUUGAUUGGUUG